RNAcentral lists this long non-coding RNA (3692 nucleotides) under Oryctolagus cuniculus (rabbit). Its description in RNAcentral is "lncRNA (ENSOCUG00000037213.1)". Lineage: Eukaryota; Metazoa; Chordata; Mammalia; Lagomorpha; Leporidae. The record is from RNAcentral.
AUGUUAGGAGAGAAGAGUUUUGAGACUCUAAAUGCAUUAAAUCAGGAAGAGGAAGAAGCAGUGGCAUUGGCAGCAACAACAAGAGAUCGGAACAGGUUAGUGAAAUUUCUUUCUCUAGAGGCCAUUUGGACCUGGGAAAUUUAUUUUAAAAGCUUUUUAUUUACUUAUUUGAGAGGUAGAGUUACAGACAGUGAGAGGGAGAGGAGACAGAAAGAAAGGUCUUUCUUCCGCUGGCUCAGUCCCAAAUGGCCACAAAGGCCAGAGCAGAGCUGUGCCAAUGCAAAGCCAGGAGCCAGGAGCUUCUUCCAGGUCUCCUGCAUGGGUGCAGGGACCCAAGGACGUGGGCCAUCUUCUACUGCUUUCCCAGGCCACAGCAGAGAGCCAGAUUGGAAGAGGAGCAGCCGGGAUUCGAACUGGCAUCCAUAUGGGAUGCCAGUGCCACAGAGGAUUAACCUACUGCAGCACAGCGCUGGCCCCUGGGACCUGGGAAAUUUUAAAGUUUCUCACAAGCAGAAAUAUCCUAAGAGGCAGGCUGUCUCAAGGCCCAAAAUUAGCCAGAGAUCCACAAGGCUUCAGGACAACUGAGAGGCAGUGAGAGUCACCACCAGUGAGCAGUUACCCCACUGCUGCACAAUGCCCCUUGGCCACUCAGCCACAGGUGCUCCACCUUAACUGCCGUCUUUCUCGGAAGACCUUGCUCUUUAAAGGAGAACCAUUAAAAAAGACCAACCACCGCUGAAUUCAGGGCACAGGCCACGUACACUGAAUGUAUUUUAGGGCAGUGGCUCAUGAUAAAUUGUUUCCCAAGUUCCUCAAAGGUACUGGUUAGUGUCAAGCUCUCUCGGGCCCAGGCUGAUAACUAUGAAGUGUGGGGAAUUUCAGUUGUUGGGAGGUACUUGGUUAUGAUACAUGUGGACUCUUAGGGCUUAUUAUAAAAGUGAUGGCCUAUGGCUCUCCAGACUGAGAAAGGAUUGCCUUUGUGAAUAAUAAGAGGAUGCAGCAGUUAUAAAAAAUUAAUAGACUGUGACAGUCUGUCUCCUAGAUAUAUAGGUGUGUUAAGUGAACUAAGCCCUAUGGUAGUGUGUGGGUAAAGCAUGCUACUAUCCUAGUUUUCUGUUGCUACAGCAAAAUACCUAAGACUGAGUGAUUUAUAAAGAAGCUCGUUUGGCUCAUGGUUCUGGACCUGGUUAGUCCAAGACCAUGAUGCAGACUUCUGCUCAGCAUCUGCUGGGGCCCCUCUUACUGCAUUAGAACACGACACAGAGCAUCACAUGCUGGGACACAGCACGUAUGCUGGCGCAGGUCCCUCUUUCUAAAAUGCUGCUAAUGCCGAUGGGGCUUCCUCUGUCCUGACCUCAUCCAAUCCUAAGUACCUCCCACAGCCUCUACCUCCAAACACCAUCAACACAGGAGAUUUGGAAUUCAGUUUCUUUCUUUUUUUUUUUUUGACAGGUAGAGUUAUAGUCAGAGAGAGAGAGAGAAACAGAGAGAAAGGUCCUCCCUCCGUUGGUUCUCCCCAAAUGGCCACCACAGCCGGCACCGCGCUGAUCCAAAUCCAGGAGCCAGGUGCUUCCUCCUGGUCCCCCAAGCACCUGGGCCAUCCUCCACUGCCCUCCCGGGCCAUAGCAGAGAGCUGUGACUGGAAGAGGAGCAACUGGGACUAGAACCCAGCACCCCUAUGGGAUGCCAGUGCUGCAGGUGGAGGAUUAAUUCCGGCGCUGGCCCCGGAAUUCAGUUUCUAAUAUGUGAACUUUGUGAGGACACAGUCCAACAACAGCAACUACUGUGUGCUCUGCAUUAUCUGUAUAGAACUUUAGGAUCCAAUACAGCAGCCACUAGCCACAUACGGCUGUUUGAAUGUAAAUUUGAAAGUCAAAGCUCACAAGUCAUCACACUCAGCCAUCUUUUUUUUAACUUUUACUUAAUUAUUUUCAUUUGAGGUGAAAGGCAGAGAAAUGGAGACAGAAGGGACAUAUCUUCCAUCUGCUGGUUCACUUCCCCAAAUGCCUGCAACAGCUGGGGCUGGGCCAGGCAGAAUCCAGAAGCCCAGAUUUCAGUCCAGGUCUCCCACAUGGGUGGCAGGAACUAAGCACUUAAGCCAUCAUCUGCUGCCUCCCAGAGUCUGCAUUUGCAGGAAGCUGAAAUCAGAAGCAGAACCAUGAUCUGAACCAGGCAUUCUGACCUGAGAUGUGGUCAUCCAAGUGCCAGCUGUAACACUGAGCCCAAGGCUCACCCCAGAGUAGGGGUUUCCAAAAGGAAAGUGAAGGGCCUUCUCAGAUCAAACCAAAGGUUGAGGAGCCUCCCAGAACAACAGAGAAAGAGAGAGAGAGAGAGAGAGAACCAGGAAGUGGCAUAAUCAGAACCUAUGUGUUCAUGUGUAACCCUCUAGCAAUACCCCAUCAGAAUGUAGGUAACCAUAUGAGGCGGACAAAGAAAGUAAGAGUGUGUGUAAAGCUAUGACCCGCUUUGCUCCGGGCUCAGCCUUUGACUGCUUUCCUGCUAUGAGCUUCGGUGUCCUGCCUGUCCGAGAACCCCACAACAUUUCUAGGGGCUUGUGUCCAGGAUUCAGAGAUGGGGUUUCCACCUCUUUUGUUGCUGGGGUACGAUACCCCCACCCCAGGAUGCUGAGAGAGGUGACCUUGCCUGGUGCCAGUGGGCAGAUUAAUCCAUAGGUGACUCACCAUCCUGCUGUGCCAGGGUAGGGCCCUGGGAGCACAGAGGAACCCAAUGAGGCACGAGGAACCAGCCAAGGGAAAGACAGCUGCCAAAGGCAAGGGGGCGGUUGGAAUGGUGGGAGGAAAAAAGGUAACAAGCCGGGUUCCCUCAUUUUGGUUUCAGUGAGCCUGCCCCUAAGAGGCAGAAGGGCAGCUUGAUGCCGUCCACUCCCAGAGUUACCAGAGUACUCUACGUCACAGGAGACAGGAGAAGAAACUGCAACUGGGGGCUGACACUGCGGCUUAGCUGCAACUGGGGGCUGACACUGCGGCUUAGCAGGUAAAGCCACUGCCUGCAGUGCCAGCAUCCCAUAUAAACACCAGUCCGAGCUGUGGCCUGGGAAAGCAGAAGAUGGCCCAGGUCCUUGGGCCCCUGCACCUGCAUGAGAAACCUGCAGGAGGCCCCUGCACCUGCAUGAGAAACCUGCAGGAGGCUCCUGGUUUCAGAUGGGCACAGUAGUGGAUGGAAGCCUCUCUCUCUCUCUCUCUCUCUCUCUCUCUCUCUCUCUCUCUCUCUCUCCCUCUCUGGUUUGUAGCAUGUUACCUCUGCCCCUCUGCUGGGAGAGGGGAUGAGGAAGGCCAGUUGUCUAUCGGCCAGGGCAACAAUACUCAAGUUGAUAGAGGCAGGCAUAUGGAUUAAACUGAUUAGAUUUAGGAGCUGGAGACCACGCCUUCAGCCUGCCCCCUUUUGUGAUUUCAUGCCAAUACCUGACCUCACCUGUACACCCACCUGCCAAUCAGACUACGUAACCACUCCCCUGUGAAGUGAGUGAAAGGCCUGGAGCACGGUGGGCCCUCCCUUGCCGUUCUUUACCUCCAGGUGUGGGGCCUCUUGGCCGAGCUGGGCUACCUGUAGCUGCUCCUAAUCACACACUUUGCUCCACGUGGCUCCCAGCCUGCUCUCUGCCUGGUAUGGACCCAGCCUGUGCUUCCAGACUUCUUCUAAAUAAAGCCCUCACUUUCUGUGUAUUUCUUUCA